Molecule: long non-coding RNA, 1307 nt
Organism: Capsicum annuum
Lineage: Eukaryota; Viridiplantae; Streptophyta; Magnoliopsida; Solanales; Solanaceae
Exons: 3
Source: RefSeq, a predicted model, not a curated record
UCAGAUUAUUUACAAAAGAAAAUUUUACCACAUCUCAAGAUUGUUUUCCUAAAUUGAAAAGAUUAAAAAAAAAAGAAAAAGUAGUUAAUCAGCUUCUUCAUCAUACAGGCAGGCAGUAAACCAUUUAGCAUGCUUGAUUUUUGUAGAGUCAUGCUGGUAACACCUUGUCAAAGAGACAUCUUUAAUGACCGACCUAGUUAUUAGUAUAAAACUUGAUUAAGAAAAAUCUAUAGGGAAUGAAAAGCAAUUCAGCACAUGCAUGGAUCAAAGUUCAUGAAAAAGAUACAACACAAUUCAUGUGUUGUGGAUAUCUCAAUUUUAAAUCAACAGGCUAAAAUUGCAAGCCAAAAAAAUUUCUAAUUACAGUUUCACAGUUAUCAGUAAAGAUAUAUAUAGACAACACACACUAAACCUAAUCUACCAUUCUCCCCCCACCACAAACACACACAAAAACAGAGAAUCUACCCUUCUCCCCCAACACACACACGCACACACACAACAACAACAAACGCAAACAACCUAAUCUACCCUUCUCCCCCAGCAAACAAAUACACACAAGAAAGGUAGCUCUGCUCCCUAUAUAUAUCACACUUAUAAGUCAUCCUAAAUUACUUAUCAGAUUGAUAAAUAGCUUGCUAGAUUAAAUUUUCUAUAUUCUAACUCCCAAAUCACUACAAACAACUAUGGAAUUGAAAUUCUUGUUGGUGAUAAGCUUUCCAUUUUGUUCCCUUGAUGCUUAUGAUUCACUCGAUCCGAGUGGAAAUAUAACAAUUAAAUGGGACUUGGUGCAGUGGACGGCAGAUGCAUAUAUUUGUUGAUGAGAGAGCUUACACAUCAACUUAUCGGGAAGAGCUGAAAUAUUAUCGUUGGUCGCCGCUAGAGGAUCACAGACGACGGAUCAACAUAUUGGAUUGGUGGAGGAGUAAUGAAACACAAUAUCCUGUGCUUUCAAGAUUAGCUAGAGAUAUCUUAAAUGUUCCAAUGUCAGCCGUUGCAUCAGAGAGCGCCUUUAGUCAAGGACGACAGCAGCUUGAAGACAACCGACACUCAUUGGAAAACAAAGAAUGAAACCGGAGUCGAGCGACGAGCUGAAACUUGAAGAAAUUAUGUCUUCACGGGAGAACUCAACAGAAUCAAGUCAAAUGCAUGGUUUUGCCCCCAUUGACUUCGACUAUCCUAUGCAAGUUCCUGUUAAUAUUAACAUGAAUGAGUUGGCAAAAAUGAUGCAUAAUUUGUAGAUUUUUUAUUCAUGUAAAUUAUAAAUUUUGGAUCAUUUUAUAAUGAAUAAAAUUUCCCAAAUUCAUUCA